This is a small nucleolar RNA of Meriones unguiculatus (Mongolian gerbil), 144 nucleotides long. The record is from Ensembl. Lineage: Eukaryota; Metazoa; Chordata; Mammalia; Rodentia; Muridae.
ACCCCCUGGCAAUGGGCAAAGAGACACUUUGUUAGUGGUGUUGUUCUUAGAUCAGUCAGGGACAGAGCAGAUGGCUGUCUUUUGCUCAUCUUUGCUUGAUGCCUGGCUUGGCGGCCAAAGCUAUUUUAUGCCUAGGACACAUAA